GCGCGACUUUACAUACACGAAAGUGUGAUAAGGGAACCCCAAGUGCUCAUGUAAAGCAUGGGCUUUUGCCGAGAGUAAAUACCUCGGAGAAUAAGUGGUGGGCAAGACUGGUGCCAGCAGCCGCGGUAACACCAGCGCCACGAGUAGCAUCCGGCAUUAUUGGGCCUAAAGCGUUCGUAGCCGGCUAGGUAAAUCUUUUGUGAAAUUGUUAAGCUCAACUUAACAGCAUGCAGAAGACACUGCUUAACUAGGGACCGGGAGGAGUUGGAGGUAUUUCGGGGGGACCGGUAAAAUGGGAUAAUCCCUGGAGGACCACCUGUGGCGAAGGCGUCCAACUAGAACGGCUCCGACGGUGAGGAACGAAAGCCAGGGGAGCAAAACGGAUUAGAUACGAGAAGUCUUCAAAAGUUAGACUUCUGGAAUUAGCUCGUAAUUUUGCAGUAAUAUCUACUUUAUGGGUUAAGGAAAGAAGUUGUGUUAUGUAGGCUUACUCGCUAAUUACCCGAGUAGUCCUGGCUGUAAACUCUGCGAGCUAGGUGUUGCGUAUUCUACGAGAAUACGCAGUGUCGUAGCGAAGGUGUUAAGCUCGCCGCCUGGGAAGUACGGUCGCAAGGCUGAAACUUAAAGGAAUUGGCGGGGGAGCACCGGGGCAGCAGGCGCGAGCGAACAGCGAAACAGACGGGGAGGAUAGGAAUUGGCGGGGGAGCACAAGCCGAAUUCC
This 721-nucleotide ribosomal RNA is filed under the name uncultured archaeon. Its description in RNAcentral is "bacterial SSU rRNA". It matches the Rfam family "Archaeal small subunit ribosomal RNA", at positions 339 to 979 of the family's 1478-position model. The record is from RNAcentral.